RNAcentral lists this unclassified non-coding RNA (241 nucleotides) under plant metagenome. Its description in RNAcentral is "partial contains small subunit ribosomal RNA, internal transcribed spacer 1, and 5.8S ribosomal RNA". The record is from RNAcentral.
UCUCCGUAGGUGAACCUGCGGAAGGAUCAUUAACAAUAAGUGUUUUAUGGCACUUUUUAUAAAAGCCAUCUCUACCUUGGGUGCAACGUGAUGAGACCCUCUAUCGUUAGCUUUUAGGUGACGGAAGGUGGAACCUAUACAACUUACCAACAUCACCGUUAACUUAUUUCUCUGAUCAUUUGUAAUCACGAAUUAACAUAAUUGGAAAAUACAACUUUCAACAACGGAUCUCUUGGCUCUC